GGGUGGGGGGUGGGGAGGCGGGGGGAUCCACACAUGACACACAUGUAUAUAUAAAGCCUACUUGGAUGGUAGGUGUGAGAGCUUGGAAAUUGGUAUCAGUUACUGUAUAAGGUGGGAUCUUCUAGCAAUAGGAUUCUGCUGUUAUUGUCACUUUAAUGGUUGGACAGGGAUGGAAUUUUGGUGGAAAAAAAAGAAAGAUACUGGAAGAGGAAUUAUGGAGAAUAGGGGAGGCAAGGGUCGAUAUUGGGAAAGUACAGGCUUCCUCUUUGUUUUGCAUUCUUGAAUUUAUUGGAAUUGUGUUACUUGAGUUUGAACUGGUGAUGAGAUUCCUGAUUUAGAAGGGUUUUGUAUUCUGGCUUGAAUUAGGUUGGAUAGAAUUAAAUUCUUAUUUUAACACAUUUCGAACCAUGGAAUGAAGUGGAAUGGGAAACUUAUGUCCAUAUUGUUGUCUUCUUACAUCCAAUCGAAAAGGGUCAAAUUUUUUUGCCCCCCC
Molecule: long non-coding RNA, 493 nt
Filed under: Phoenix dactylifera (date palm)
Lineage: Eukaryota; Viridiplantae; Streptophyta; Magnoliopsida; Arecales; Arecaceae
Description: long non-coding RNA (PDAC_LNC021619)
Source: RNAcentral